Molecule: long non-coding RNA, 209 nt
Organism: Tachysurus fulvidraco (yellow catfish)
Lineage: Eukaryota; Metazoa; Chordata; Actinopteri; Siluriformes; Bagridae
Exons: 2
Source: RefSeq, a predicted model, not a curated record
UGACGUCUGGAGCUGAGCGGCUGCAAGCGGCAGUGGCGUUGCAGCUUUGGUGGAGAGAGAAGUCUGUGCCACACAACGAAGGCGAACGAAGUGGACGAGGUCUCCGGCUUUGUGCUUUUGGUACAUGAUGAAACACGACGGUGUGAAAAGGUGUGACGUCACCCAGCAGUGAUCCCACCUCUGAUCAGACGCAGGCUGAAUAUUAAGGU